GGCGCCAUGGCUUAGUGGUAAAGCGCCCGUCUUGUAAACAGGACAUCCUGGGUUCGAUCCCCAGUGUUGCCU
Molecule: non-coding RNA, 72 nt
Organism: Ciona savignyi (Pacific transparent sea squirt)
Lineage: Eukaryota; Metazoa; Chordata; Ascidiacea; Phlebobranchia; Cionidae
Source: Rfam